AAUCCCCCCAAGCUCAACACCUAAAACCCCGGAAGAGCGAAGGCUCCAAAAACCCCCUCCCUUCUCCUUCCGCCACCGCUCGAUAGCCAUGUCCGCCGCCGCCGCCGCCGCCGCGCGGUCCGUCCUCCGUUCCCCGUCCCUCCGGACCUCCGCCUCCGCCUCCGCCGCGAGGUCUGCCGCCGCCGGCCUAAAACCCAGGCCGGCGCGGUCGCCGUUCCGCAUCCCGGCGCAGAAGCCCAUGUCGCAUCGCAUCUUCAGGUCCCCGGUGGAGAUGAGCAGCUGCUUGGAAUCGGUGCUCCCUUAUCACACCGCCACUGCUUCCGCGUUGCUCACUUCCAUGCUCUCCGUCUCGCGCCACGCAUCCGGCUGGACUCCUGAAGAUUGCAAUGAUGAUUUGUGAUGACUAUUGGGAGGGUUCGUGCGUGGUUCAGGUGGAGAACUGGAGAUUGAUCUAGAGCUAUAGACAAUUUUCUCACUGUUUAUGGAUGAUUGUUUCUUGUUGGUCGAAGAAAUGCUUGCCCCCAUCUACUCAAUGGACAUUGUUAGACCUGCUUGAGGCAUCUCGGUCUUGUUCAUGGAUUGUGCCAGGAUUUUCCUUUUCAACUUGCAGAUAGAAUUCGAUUAUUGGUCCAUCCAUGGACUGUACCUUUUUUACUGGCUCUUAGUUGUUCUUUUGGCUUCACCAUCACCAGUGCACGACCGCUGGCAUCUAUGAAGGCUUUUUUUUUUUUUUUUUUGUAAGAAUGUUGAGUUGCAUUAAAGGGAAUCUAAGAUGCCAACGAUAGAUAACGUUGCUGAAGCGGCUGGUACUUCUUGACCUUGCAGUGAAAAGUGUUGGCCCUCUAAAUAGCAUUCAUCUCGAUGGAUGGGCAGUAAAACUUCUUUGGGUGAUCUA
Molecule: RNA transcript, 895 nt
Organism: Eucalyptus grandis
Lineage: Eukaryota; Viridiplantae; Streptophyta; Magnoliopsida; Myrtales; Myrtaceae
Gene name: protein NUCLEAR FUSION DEFECTIVE 6, mitochondrial
Exons: 4
Source: RefSeq, a predicted model, not a curated record